GACGAACGCUGGCGGCGUGCUUAACACAUGCCAGUCGUACGGUAAGGCCCUUUCGGGGGUACACGAGUGGCGCACGGGUGAGUAACACGUGAGUAACCUGCCCACAACUUUGGGAUAACGCUAGGAAACUGGUGCUAAUACUGGAUAUGUGCUCCUGCUGCAUGGUGGGGGUUGGAAAGCUCCGGCGGUUGUGGAUGGACUCGCGGCCUAUCAGCUUGUUGGUGGGGUAGUGGCCUACCAAGGCGGCGACGGGUAGCCGGCCUGAGAGGGUGACCGGCCACAUUGGGACUGAGAUACGGCCCAGACUCCUACGGGAGGCAGCAGUGGGGAAUAUUGCACAAUGGGCGCAAGCCUGAUGCAGCAACGCCGCGUGCGAGAUGACGGCCUUCGGGUUGUAAACCGCUUUCAGCAGGGACGAAGCUUUUUGUGACGGUACCUGCAGAAGAAGCACCGGCUAACUACGUG
RNAcentral lists this ribosomal RNA (465 nucleotides) under uncultured bacterium. Its description in RNAcentral is "partial 16S ribosomal RNA". It matches the Rfam family "Bacterial small subunit ribosomal RNA", at positions 28 to 507 of the family's 1533-position model. The record is from RNAcentral.